This 2475-nucleotide long non-coding RNA is filed under the name Homo sapiens (human). RNAcentral's name for it is "HSALNT0038064". The record is from RNAcentral. Lineage: Eukaryota; Metazoa; Chordata; Mammalia; Primates; Hominidae.
AUCAAAGCCUGAGCAAACUGCUCUCGUGCACCGCCCGCUGCCCUCCUGUCCCAGCACUCACUGUCAUCCAUUUUCCUCUUGUCGCUGCCAGGCUGAGCGAUGCCCAGGAGCCCAUUGAUGGAACACAUAUACUCACAGAAAUGAGUUAUUUAAAGAAGACGGUCCAGAUUCCACAGUCCAAAAAAAAAAGAGGUUUGCCCUGCUUCUGAAGGAGUCAGGGUAUGAAUGCAGAGGUCUUCCUGUUGGCUCACAUAUCAGAUCUUCAACGUCAACAUUAAAUGCGAGUGAUGCUUCCCCCUCUGUGAAUGUGGCUUUGGGUAUGGCUAAUCCACACCCUGCACUCUGGCCUUCAGAAGCCCAGGGAGAGAAGCCUCCCAGAAGCAACCUUCCAGAACCUUCUCCAUCCUCCCACCGACCUCCCCAGCCCCUGUCCUCUCUUUGAAUCUCGUUGUCAAGUUCUUCCCGCAGACACCUGGCUCCUUGAGGGGAGGUGCAGCUUUCAUCUGACCAUGCAGGCGUGCUUUGCAGUGGGUAGAGCAGUGCUUUCCUCCUCCCAGCUGCACACUGGAAUCACCUGGAGAGUCCAGAAACUUCCCGCCUCAGUGAAAGAACAUCAGUGUAUCAGCACAGCAAAUAUUCCAAAUGCCAGGCUGGAUUCCCUCCAAUUACCAGGACCUCCAGGCUUCUCCUCCUUUCAAGAACUUUCUGACCCUGGAUCCAGUCUAAAUGUUGGUUAUAAACUCACCUGACAUCCACAGGGCCCUUCCAAAAUACUGUCAAGGCUGACUGCUGGUGCCUGGAACCUGCACACCCUCCUGGGACUCUGCAUCUCUGCUGGGGCUGGUUUCUCCUCUGAGCCACCUUAAGGAAUCCCACCCUGACCCGGUCAGAGCUCACCAUGCCUCCCUCUCCUACUUGCUCAGCAUUUUGUGUCUAUCUAGACUGAAGCCUUUGCUUUCUCUCUGUGAUUAUGGUGAAAGUUCAGUUUGCUUUCCUAUCUCUAGAAUGUCAGCACGAAGGCAGAGGCAUGGUCUCCUGAGUUCCAUAACCCCAAAGCCUAACUCCCUGCCUGCCACACUGAGGGGCUUAGUAGACAUUGACUUACUAAAUUGAAUAGUUGAGUAAUAAUGCUCUUUGAAAUAAUUUGGAGUUAGAUCUUGAGCCUUGUGUGGCCAGAGGAUGGGUGAGGACACAUCAUAAAAACUAAAGGUAACUGAGCAUGCCAGUGGUUGGGGUGAGAAAUUUGCAUGGAGCACUCCAGACACAGAGGCAGCAAAACCCAAGUGCUGGGAAGUCAGAGUGAGAGAGUGAAGGGGCAGUGAGUGCUUCUUUAGGAGCUGGAUCAAAACCUAAGAUGAUCUGGCCACAUGGUGCAGACUGAGCACACACUUGGGAGAGAAAUGGGCCAGGAGGAGAGGAGAGAGGUUCACCACAGGACAGUGGAUGACUGGGAAUAGAAGCCCUCCCCAUGGUGGACCAAGAAGUCUGUGAAGCUGAGAGAAAGACAAAAGAAAUCACGACUUCUGUAGGUAGCUGGGAUGGAAACCUCAGGGGUGACAGGGUCUUUAAAGGAAAUCUCAAGGAAGGCAUCAUGUUCUGGGUGUGCUCCAGGGAUGCUGAGUAAGAAAAGACCAGCCUUUCUGUGUGUGUCUUUACUCUGCCACAAGGCACCUGGGCUCCUAAAUGACCAAUACACAUGUGCUAUACUGGUGCCAAGAAAGAAGGGUGUUUUGUAGGAAAGUCAAGGUGAGAGGAGGUGCCCAGGACUUGGCUCCUUUCUUUGAAGGGUGACGGUGUAAAUUCUCCAUGCUGGGGAUCCUACUGAUGGAUGGAGGCAUGUCGAUCUCAUCAUUUCACAGAGUGGGGAGCUAUGGCCACAACGUGCCUAUCACACAAGUCCAGCCUCACGUCAGCUGGACACCAGCUGUUCUGACACUUGUCAGCACAUGGGGCACCCGGAAGUUCAUGGUGUUCUGCAAAGAACGCCACAAAACAGUGAGCUCAACUUCUUGAAAGUCAUAAUGUGUUGCUAAGUCCGAUCCCAGAUCCUAAAAAUAAUAUGAGGUAGUGGCCAUUGAACAGAAAAAAUUUACAUCUUAAACUUGAAGAUAAGUACAAGUGUACCUUUUUCUACCACUGUUGUUCAGUUUUAUUAUAUUGACAAGCACCUCUGCCCACCCUGUGGGGUAAAACUGUUUGAAAGUGUUUAUGAAAGUUUUAUAUAAAUAUUGGUUGAUCAAAUGUACAAAAUAUGCAUGAUGGCACCAUAUUGUGUAUAAUAGUGACAAAUACAGUCUAUGUGGGUGGAGAAACAAGCUCGGUGUUGUGCAUGCGGCUGUGGUUUGUGUUCACACUUCUCCUUUAGAGUGUAGUAGACAGAACAUGCCUGAACUGCCUGGGGCUGAGGGGUCUCAGGCGCAGAGUGGCCCAGGAAUUCUGAGCAAGGACAGAAUGUUAGAGAGAAUAUCCUGAGCU